Molecule: ribosomal RNA, 403 nt
Filed under: Verrucomicrobiota bacterium
Lineage: Bacteria; Pseudomonadati; Verrucomicrobiota
Description: Verrucomicrobia bacterium partial 16S ribosomal RNA
Rfam family: Bacterial small subunit ribosomal RNA
Source: RNAcentral
UGGGGAAUAUUGCACAAUGGGGGAAACCCUGAUGCAGCGACGCCGCGUGAGCGAAGAAGGUUUUCGAAUCGUAAAGCUCUGUCCUAUGAGAAGAUAAUGACGGUAUCAUAGGAGGAAGCCCCGGCUAAAUACGUGCCAGCAGCCGCGGUAAUACGUAUGGGGCGAGCGUUGUCCGGAAUUAUUGGGCGUAAAGGGUACGUAGGCGGUCUAUUAAGUCAGGUGUGAAAGCGUGGGGCUUAACCUCAUUAAGCACUUGAAACUGAUAGACUUGAGUGAAGGGGAGGAAAGUGGAAUUCCUAGUGUAGCGGUGAAAUGCGUAGAUAUUAGGAGGAAUACCGGUGGCGAAGGCGACUUUCUGGACUUUUACUGACGCUCAGGUACGAAAGCGUGGGGAGCAAACAGG